Molecule: transfer RNA, 58 nt
Filed under: Cymothoa indica
Lineage: Eukaryota; Metazoa; Arthropoda; Malacostraca; Isopoda; Cymothoidae
Description: tRNA-Phe
Source: RNAcentral
AUCCAUAAAGUUCCUAGAACAUAAUACUGAAGAUAUUAAAGAGACCUGUCUAUGUAAU